CAGUCGCCGCGGUAAUACCGAGGGUGCGAGCGUUAAUCGGAUUUACUGGGCGUAAAGCGUGCGUAGGCGGCUAAUUGAGUCGGAUGUGAAAUCCCCGAGCUUAACUUGGGAAUUGCAUUCGAUACUGGUUAGCUAGAGUGUGGGAGAGGAUGGUAGAAUUCCAGGUGUAGCGGUGAAAUGCGUAGAGAUCUGGAGGAAUACCGAUGGCGAAGGCAGCCAUCUGGCCUAACACUGACGCUGAGGUACGAAAGCAUGGGGAGCAAACAGGAUUAGAUACCCCGGUAGUCCCUGUCUCUUAUAC
This 301-nucleotide ribosomal RNA is filed under the name uncultured bacterium. RNAcentral describes it as "partial 16S ribosomal RNA". It matches the Rfam family "Bacterial small subunit ribosomal RNA", at positions 509 to 807 of the family's 1533-position model. The record is from RNAcentral.